CAUAUGUGUGUGUGUGUGUGUGUAUGUGUGUGUACACAUAUAUGUAUAUAUAUACAUACACACAUACAUAUAUAUAUUAGCA
This 82-nucleotide microRNA precursor is filed under the name Ovis aries (sheep). Its description in RNAcentral is "miRNA (ENSOARG00000022282.1)". The record is from RNAcentral. Lineage: Eukaryota; Metazoa; Chordata; Mammalia; Artiodactyla; Bovidae.